RNAcentral lists this ribosomal RNA (250 nucleotides) under uncultured bacterium. RNAcentral's name for it is "partial 16S ribosomal RNA". It matches the Rfam family "Bacterial small subunit ribosomal RNA", at positions 524 to 773 of the family's 1533-position model. The record is from RNAcentral.
UACGUAGGUGGCAAGCGUUGUCCGGAUUUAUUGGGUUUAAAGGGUGCGUAGGCGGCCCUGUAAGUCAGUUCUGAAAUAUCCCGGCUUAACCGGGAGGGUGGGAUUGAUACUGCGGGGCUUGAGUGAACUCGAGGUAGGCGGAAUUGACGGUGUAGCGGUGAAAUGCUUAGAUAUCGUCAAGAACACCGAUAGUGUAGACAGCUUACUAGAUUUUAACUGACGCUGAGGCACGAAAGUGUGGGGAUCAAAC